GACGAACGCUGGCGGCGUGCCUAAUACAUGCAAGUUGAGCGCUGAAGGUUGGUACUUGUACCAACUGGAUGAGCAGCGAACGGGUGAGUAACGCGUGGGGAAUCUGCCUUUGAGCGGGGGACAACAUUUGGAAACGAAUGCUAAUACCGCAUAAAAACUUUAAACACAAGUUUUAAGUUUGAAAGAUGCAAUUGCAUCACUCAAAGAUGAUCCCGCGUUGUAUUAGCUAGUUGGUGAGGUAAAGGCUCACCAAGGCGAUGAUACAUAGCCGACCUGAGAGGGUGAUCGGCCACAUUGGGACUGAGACACGACCCAAACUCCUACAGGAGGCAGCAGUAGGGAAUCUUCGGCAAUGGACGAAAGUCUGACCGAGCAACGCCGCGUGAGUGAAGAAGGUUUUCGGAUCGUAAAACUCUGUUGGUAGAGAAGAACGUUGGUGAGAGUGGAAAGCUCAUCAAGUGACGGUAACUACCCAGAAAGGGACGGCUAACUACGUG
This 497-nucleotide ribosomal RNA is filed under the name uncultured bacterium. Its description in RNAcentral is "partial 16S ribosomal RNA". It matches the Rfam family "Bacterial small subunit ribosomal RNA", at positions 28 to 507 of the family's 1533-position model. The record is from RNAcentral.